Molecule: ribosomal RNA, 253 nt
Filed under: uncultured bacterium
Lineage: Bacteria
Description: partial 16S ribosomal RNA
Rfam family: Bacterial small subunit ribosomal RNA
Source: RNAcentral
UACGUAGGGGGCUAGCGUUGUCCGGAAUCAUUGGGCGUAAAGCGCGCGUAGGCGGCCUGGUAAGUCCGCUGUGAAAGUCAAAGGCUCAACCUUUGAAUGUCAGCGGAUACUGCCAGGCUAGAGUCCGGAAGAGGCGAGUGGAAUUCCUGGUGUAGCGGUGGAAUGCGCAGAUAUCAGGAGGAACACCAACGGCGAAGGCAGCUCGCUGGGACGGUACUGACGCUGAGACGCGAAAGCGUGGGGAGCGAACAGG